GAGGACCUCACGUAACAAGAAUCCCACAUAACAAGAGAGUUGGAGAUUAGGGUGGUGCUUCUACAAACCAACGGGAUGCCAAUAAUUGCUGACAACCACCAAAGCCUAGGAAGAGGCAUGGAAGGAUUCUUCUCUAGAGCCUUCAGAGCCACCCAGUCUGUGGUACUUUGUCAUGGCAAACAUGGAAAAUGAAUACAAUAUGGAUACUACCAAAAACAGUGAACCUACCACUGUCACAGAACCUUUCCUUCCGAAGUGGACGCCAGCCCACCAAUUCUGAACUCCCACUUCCAAACGCAUAAUUAUCACUUUUGGACUUUAACAGGAUAAUCCUUCUUUGUGACACCUCAUCUGCUCAUUUAAGAGAGAAAAGCCACUCACUAAGCCAAGGGAAUUGCCAGAUGAAAUGACCUUCCAAGAGUUCCUCUUGAAAUUCCUAAAGAUUUCCUUAUUUAUAAUCAAGUCAAAAUUAAUUUAGACACUAACUUACCACUGCCUUAUGUUUAAAUUAACCCCAAAUGGAGGUACUCUGGACUGCUUUGGGACAAAGAAUUCCAAUGACAGUAGCAGAAUUAUUGGAGUUGAACUCAUUAAGGACUGAUCCACAUACCUUGAAAUUUCCCAGUAACCUCAAAGACCAGAAAGCAAAGACAUAAAGACUUGUAAUGCAAAUUAUGAUAAAAAAUGAAUCACGCCUUACAGGAAUCUGAGAUUACAGGAAUUGUGCAGGAUUUCUGAAGUAUAAACACAAAUAGGCAUACCUGAUUUUUCAGUGGUAGCAAGCCCCAAUACUAUCCUAUCCUUAAUGCCACCUGAAGCCACUUUCUUUAGUCAUAGACCUGUCCACUGCCUUCUUUAGCACCCUCUAGAUCAGGACACCAGUGCCUGUUUAUUGAGCUUGGUAAGAGAUAAAGUGGUAAGAAAGUACUUAUACUAGUGCAGGAUUCCUCUCUUAUAUGGAUUAUAUCAGGAAAAGUUGGUCUCCUUGACUAUGGAUCUACCUGCUGAUCUCUACUGUGUAUCUCACUGUCUAGUGCUCGCCUACCCUUGUUGACUUGUGUCAAACCUGUAAGACACAAUCAGACAACCUCAUAAGGGUAUUUGGGCCAAAAGUGGGUCACUGGAUGGCCCCAAUGACUGUUAAUGGAUUUGUUCUGCAAAUAAAAAAAAAAGAAGAAAGGAAGGGAAAGGAAAGGAAAGGAAAGGAAGGGAAAGGAAGGGAAAGGAAGGGAAAGGAAGGGAAAGGAAGGGAAGGGAAGGGAAGGGAAGGGAAAGGAAAGGAAAGGAAAGGAAAGGAAAGGAAAGGAAAGGAAAGGAAAGGAGGGAAGAAACCAACUUGUUAGGUACUGCUCACAAAUUAAACAGGGACUUAGCAUCUCAAUAAACUGAUGCCCACUGUCAAGAAAUUCCCUGAUAUCCCUGUGGAUCCAUUUGGCUUACUCAUUUUCCCUCUUAAGAAAAAGCAGUCUUUAGACCUCCUACUUCAAAGAAUAGAAAAUCUGAAACCUCAAAUUUUAACUCCAACAGAAAAUUCUGGGCUGCUUUAUUCUGUCCUCAGGCAUACCCAUCUCACACUUUAAAGAAGGUCCCAAAUGUGGUGCCAAAAACUCUACAUGCUGUGGUUCAGAGAUUGACAGCAGAACCUGACAGUGCCACUAAGGCUAAGGAUCUUCUUGCCUGAGAAAUUCAUAAGAUUGCACAGGCAGUAGGAUAAAACAGAGCCAUCCUCGACAUAUUACUGCCUUCUCAAGGCAGACCAUGUGCCAUCUUAAGGAAAAAAUGUACUCCCAUCCCUAUGGAAAUCUGUUCUUUGAUGGUUAAUGUUAAUUAAAGAGAUCUGGAAACAAA
Felis catus (domestic cat) is the source of this 1848-nucleotide long non-coding RNA. RefSeq lists it as uncharacterized. The transcript is spliced from 2 exons. NCBI's taxonomy places the organism in Eukaryota, Metazoa, Chordata, Mammalia, Carnivora, Felidae. The record is from RefSeq and is a predicted model, not a curated record.